Molecule: long non-coding RNA, 1311 nt
Organism: Bombus pyrosoma
Lineage: Eukaryota; Metazoa; Arthropoda; Insecta; Hymenoptera; Apidae
Exons: 3
Source: RefSeq, a predicted model, not a curated record
UCAGCGGAAAAGUUAUAAAAACUUCCAUGAAAAGGUUGGAUCAAAAGCACGAAGACCAUCUGGUUGGGGUUACCGUUUGAAUAAUUAAUUUCGGUGAUUUCUUUCAAGGGGCUAUGUAACGUGUAGCGUGUGGCCGGUUUUUGAAGCGUGCCAAGGUCGAGGAAAAUUCAGGCCAUUGCUCGGCAGGAUGCUUUAGAUGGCGCGAUAAGCUUAAGCAGACGAUAGAAGCAUAUAGGUUCGGUAACCGGAAGUUCGGCCUGGUCUUCGUUAUCGGUACCUUCUGUCAUGGCGUCUGAACCAUCCAAAAAUAACCAUUCACGGGGAUACGGAACUGCCACAACGAUUCAUUAAACGACUAUCGUGAUUGCACACGGCACGAAUCUUUUCCAAGUUCGUAUGUGGUUGAUUAGUUUCAAAUAGAAGAAUUGAUUUCUGGUUUUUGACGCGUUUGAAACAGGUCAGGAUAAGAGGGAUGCUUCGUAAAGCUGCAUCUGGAACCAGUUUUAAUUGAUCAUCAAAUUUUCACGUAUGAAAUGUUAGAGAUGAGAGAUUCUAUACACUAUAGUAUACACGGUGGAGGAAAAUUAAGUCGUCAAAGCGCAACUCCGCAGCUGAAGCAUUUUGAAAAACAUCGCAGAAAGCUAUUUGCCAAUUAGCAUCUAACUUCAAAGCACAGCUCGAACGAUUUCGAUACGAUGAAGAGAAUAUUCAUUUAUCGAGUCGUUGCUGCUUUCGAAAUCCCCCAAAGUUUUGAGCGGACACGUAUGUAUGACAAAAAAUUUGGAACUUAAAACUCUCGAUAGAUCUUGAGAGAGUCUCGUACGAGUGUUUCUAAAUUUAGACGUUUUCCCAUUUUAAUUCGUUUUUGUCUGGCUUUCUAAUUUUAACUUUCCAUGUCCUGGGAAGAAAAGGAACUGGAAAGCAGGGAAAAGAUACCUUCCAAAUUUAAAUUCAAUUUAUUUUUAUAUCUUUCUCUCUAACAUCUUUAACAUUAUCUUCACACGUUUUAAUGCAUUUUUAUGCUGCUUCUUUGUUAAUUUUCCUACCAUUGAAAAAGUAAUUACAAAGUGCAGAAAAACGUGUCUUCCACGUUUCAUAUGUUUUUAUAUAUCUGUCCUCUCUCGUAUUAACUUUUCUCUACCUUUAAAGGAAUUAAUUGCCAACUGCAGACAAAUCUGUCUCCCACGUUUCGUUUCAUUUUCUAGCUGUUCGUCUCGUAUUCAUUUUUCUAUCCUCGAGAAGAUUAAACAAAAAAAAAAAAAAAAAAGAAAACGGAUAAAUGAAAAGCAAAUCCUCGCAUUACCGAUCCGA